Trifolium pratense (red clover) is the source of this 445-nucleotide long non-coding RNA. RefSeq lists it as uncharacterized. The record is from RefSeq and is a predicted model, not a curated record. NCBI's taxonomy places the organism in Eukaryota, Viridiplantae, Streptophyta, Magnoliopsida, Fabales, Fabaceae. The transcript has 2 exons.
AGUUAGUAGAAUGGGGGGUGUGAAUUGGAAUUUUGUAGAAAACCUAACUAUAAAAGCUAGUUAGUAAGAGAAAGAGUCAUUAUUCACAUUUCUUAGGGAAGUUAGAAAGAGAGGCUCUAGAAACAAAGGGAGGAAGAAACGAAGAAGUGAGAACCAAGCUCAAAGAACAACCAAGCUUCCAUUUUUCAAGCUUCAUUAGAGAUUAUCAGGUUGUGUAUGUUUGUCGGUGUUCGAGUUGUUGGUGAAGCUCCGCUCUGAUUAUGACACGGGGAAGGGUUUAUCGAGUCUUGUACUUGUAUUCUUAUUUUAUUGUAAAUGUAUUAUUUUAGAAAAUAAUUUUUAUUAAGCGAGGUUUAUGCUAAUUAGCAAUGUUCUUGAAGUAUGUAAUACCUUAAACCACUAUUUUAUAUUUUAACUUCGACUUCGAGUCGUUUUAAUUUUAUUA